UCUCCCCCCCCCCCCCCCGGCGGCGGCUGAGGGCGGCGUGAGGGGGGCGGCGGGCUGGGGGCCGCCUCAGGCCUGCGGCCGCUCGGAGUUGUGUGAGGGGUGCUGAUUAAGAAGGGUUUACGGCGUUGUUUACGUUCCUCUUGCCACACGAGAGUACAACGUCAGAAGGACUUUUUAAAGCCAGAGCUGUCGCGGUUUACAUUCCUCGUUGGCAGUGAGAGAGCACGCUGUGUCGCCCGGUCCCCACUGAUACAGUGCCAUACCUUUGCCAAGAUCAACUUUUAAAGGAAGCUACAGCUUUUGGUGCCAGCAUAGAUCGAGCCCAUUGUAUGUAAGCAAAGGGAACAGCAGGCAGUUCCGACGCUGCCCGUCCCUCAGGAGCGCACAGGGAACUGGAAGGGUGUGUGCUGCAGUGACCCGUGAGUAGAGCCUCUGACCGUAAUGAAAUCUGCACUGAUGAGAUCAGAGAGGAAACUACACCAGAUUUCUGGGAAGGACAACACAUAUCACCAGUACUGUGGGGAAAGGACUAAACACAGCCCAGGAAAAAAAAGCAUUAUUCAAGGACAACUCAUGUUUCCAGUUCAUCUAAAAAGGUAAAACUACCUUUAUAAGAUCCCAUAUUCCCCAUUAAACUUGGGUUACUUUUCAGUUAUUUUAUUUGUAUUUUAAACGUAGAUGAUGUCACAGUUUUCAUUUGGCCUUAAUUUUAUACCAGUCUUAGUAAUCCUAGAGAGAUAGUGCCAGAUUUAGGAUAUAGAACUCACCAAGGGAAUUCAACCAACAGUUUUCUCCCUGGCACACUACUGGGACAGAAAGGGGAGUCAACUAACUGCUUAGAUACAUUCUAAGGUACCAACAGUAAAGCUGUGACAUUUAGCCCUUGCUGUCAGUACAAGUUGUUGUGACUAGGUGUGAAGAAGUGUUGGAAUGUUAGAGCUGUAUACGAUGUAGACUAAAUGCUAUGUGGUUUAAAAAAAAUAGAGCAAAGAAUGUUUGAUAGUGCAAUCCUCUACAAGCAAUCCUCUAAAUAUAUGAUUCAUUUUCAUGUGAUGAUAUUUAAAAUGUU
Tyto alba (common barn owl) is the source of this 1069-nucleotide long non-coding RNA. RefSeq lists it as uncharacterized. The record is from RefSeq and is a predicted model, not a curated record. NCBI's taxonomy places the organism in Eukaryota, Metazoa, Chordata, Aves, Strigiformes, Tytonidae. The transcript has 3 exons.